UGCGUGGGGUGUGGGGUGGGGCACUCGCCAGGCUCGCCCUUUAGGUGCUAAUGUAAACGCCACCCGUUGCUGCUGGUUUCCACGAGUGUUUCCCAAAUGCCGGAACACAUGACAGAGCUCCGAGCAGAUGCUGGAAAGCGCUUCGAUAUUGCUAAGUCAAGCGUCUGCUCAUUUUCUAAGGCGGCAUUUUAUAAUCGGAUGAAGCGUUCUCUUUCCUGAAGUAGGUAAAACCACCUGUCAUCUGCAAUACCUACUGGUAUUAUGUUCUAACAGCCAGGGUCUGGGGAGAGGCAGCACCCGGAGGCUCAGUGCCACAGGUGGGGACUCAAAGGAACCUGGGCACUAGAAACAAAACUGACACUUUGAAGCUGCAGUUUCAUUUCCUACAUCACAUUACAUGUUCAGUUUGCAAGUAACUGUGCCUGUUCCGGAAGCCAUCGUCUCCGUGAAGGACAGGGCUGUCCAGGAGCCUGGAGAAGGACGUGGGAACCUCUAGUUCACAUGCCCUAGGGAGACUUAGGUUCAAGCAAACUUGGGAAACAGCGCUAAGCCACCCCCAGUUCUGUGCCUGCAGGCACCAGCCAUGGCCCCACCAGAUGGCCCAUCCCCCCACCUGGCUUAGAACCUGGCAUAGAGACCUCGCAUCUUCGCAGCCCUGGGCAAAUCCAGCUUUCCAAGCCAUCUUAUUUCCUCGUGAAUUCAGAGAGUGUGCCAAACACACACUGCUUGGAAUCCAAGGGGUUAAUGAGCAUAGAUGACUUGGCAGUGAGACCUCACUGCUUAUGGCUCCCCCAUGCACAAGGCUCUGCCCCGUGGAGUGCUCGCAUCCGAAUACUACACUUCAGGACCUGAUUCAAAUAGAACCUGCCAAGAAGCAUUCCCAGACUCUUCCUGCUUAAUUACCAUCUCUGCUGGCAAACAACACAAUCCCGACAGAAAAUGCACCAGAUAAGGAGGCAGCCACCGGCUCUUCACGUGAGUAACACUGGGGCGCAGACGAGAACCGCAAGGAAGAGGAAGCGUGACCGCGCGUGAAAUUCAACCCAAGCCCUAGUUGGUUCUCUCCUGCUUGUCGAGGGCCACCGGGGAGAGGGACAGACAGGCCCGACUGUCAAGGAGCAUCCGGUGCCUCAUGAGAAUCACAGCGUCCGCGCCACGGUCAUCUGACAACGACACGAGAAUGCUGGGGGUCUGAGCACCAGGUGUGCCCCUCAGAGCAGCGGGCUCCCCCUACUCCU
Long non-coding RNA from Talpa occidentalis (Iberian mole), 1238 nucleotides. RefSeq lists it as uncharacterized. The transcript has 4 exons. The record is from RefSeq and is a predicted model, not a curated record. NCBI's taxonomy places the organism in Eukaryota, Metazoa, Chordata, Mammalia, Eulipotyphla, Talpidae.